GUGUGUGUGUGUGUGUGUUCUGGUAAUCAUCACGCGAUGGGGACCGUUGACUGUUUACACAGUCACGUCAUGGGGACCGGUUGCGCUUUGGGGACCAAAAUCCCGGUCCCCAUGAGGAUAACCCUUUUAAAUGACUACUAGAGCUACUCUGAAGGUGCCCGUGAAGUUUUAAGCAUUGGCCCAUACGACAUGUUUUUUGGUGAGUGUGAGUGUGUGAGCAUUGCUCAUUGGUGGCCCUACUGUUUCUAGUUAGUACUGCACCCACUGCUUCACACACACACAUCUUCCAAAUAUGGUUGGGUGCCACCCACUUCCUUGUCCCCAUUAGGAAUGAUUCAAGCAGCGAGGACAUUUUCAGCAUCAAGAGGUAGCUAUCAACAGUAAAAGAAGAUUAUUUGAUGGAGAAACUAGCUAAGAAGAUAAGAACAUGUGCAGAGGAGCAAAAGUAAAGCAUAAGAAAUGCCACCACGGAUCAGCAAUUCCACAUGAUACACAUCUGCAAAUUAGAGGUCCAGUAUAUUUAUGCAGCAAAAGUAUUGAUGCUUUCAGAGAAGAUGGCUCAAUUGGGAGACAAGUUAAUGAUGAACACAGACGUCCUUACUCCAAAAUGAAAAAAAUUGGUGUUAAUGGAGAACCCCACCUUUGUUUAUUUGCC
This is a long non-coding RNA of Platichthys flesus (European flounder), 655 nucleotides long. RefSeq lists it as uncharacterized. The record is from RefSeq and is a predicted model, not a curated record. The transcript is spliced from 3 exons. Lineage: Eukaryota; Metazoa; Chordata; Actinopteri; Pleuronectiformes; Pleuronectidae.